Molecule: long non-coding RNA, 2421 nt
Organism: Cyprinus carpio (common carp)
Lineage: Eukaryota; Metazoa; Chordata; Actinopteri; Cypriniformes; Cyprinidae
Exons: 3
Source: RefSeq, a predicted model, not a curated record
CCUCACACCCUUUUAGGUCGGCAGUUUUGCUGUUGUGGGAGGAGCAUCAGUUGAGAAUGCUGGGCUGUACUCUGACCAGUGAGCUAGCCUCUCAGAUGAACUGGGCAGUAGGUCACUGAAAGAUAAGCCUGAACAAAAAACUCCAUUUAGAGGCACCAGGUGUGCAUGUUUGGGACUUCAUGUCAGGAUUGAAGACAGGAAGCAAAAAUGCAAGUAACGGUUUAUUACAGGAAUGCAAAUGAGAAAUGCUUCAGCUGAGGGUGGGUGGCGCAGGGACCUCGAUGACAGCACAGGAUGGGUGAGAUGGUGAAUUGAGUGCACUGGUGAAGGAUGAUGAAAGGUCCAGCUGAUGACGACAUAAUCCACAGUGAAACACAGCACUGGAAUGAACCCACGAGAAUGAACGCAGAACAGGAGGAAUACAGACAUGCAGCACGGAGUACCUCAAACAACGAUCUGACAAACAAGUGACAAAAGACAGGGCAUUAAGUAGGCUGUUGGAAUUAGAUGCAGCUGCCGCUGAUCACUGAUGAUCAGCGGUAACGCCCACAUCAAACAAUCAGCGUGACGUAACAUGAGACGAGCAGGAAACAAUGCAUUCAUGAACCGUGACACUUCAUUCCUUAUAGCUCAACUAAUUUAAACAGCAAUUAAUCACUUUAUUUUAUUAUUAUUAUAAUAUAAUGAUAAUGAUAAUUACAUAUCUUGUGUUGACCUAGGGCUUCAUUCCUUAUAGCUCAUCUAAUAUAAGACAAACAUUAAUGAAUCACUGUAUUUAAAUAGUAAUAAUAAUAAUAAUAAUAAAAAUAACAAUUAUUAUUAUUAUUAUAUAAUGAUAAUGAAAUAUCUCGUGUUGAUCCAGAGACAUCAUAUUCUUAUGUUGACCCAGGGACUUCAUUCCUUAUAGCUCAUCUAAUAUAAGACAAACAGUAAUUAAUCACUCUAUGUAAAUAAUAAUAAUUAUUAUUAUUAUUUUUUUUUUAUAUAUAAUUAUAAUGAAAUAUCUUGUGUUGAUCCAGGGACAUCAUAUUCUUAUGUUGACCCAGGGAUUUCAUUCCUUAUUGCUCAUCUAAUAUAAGACAAACACUGAUCAAUCGUUGUAUUUAAAUACUAAUUAUAACUAAUAAUAAUAAUAAUAAUUGCAUUUAUUUUGUUGACCCACGGGCCAUCAUUCCUUAAUGUGCAUUCAAUAAGUUGAAGUUUUCUCUCAUUUUACGAUCAUCACUGGAUGAAACCAAUUUAAAUUUCUUAAUGUUAACAUUAAUUUUUUUCUUUGCACAGAUAGCGUUCAUCUAUGGAGAUAGAUAAAGGGUAAAUAAAAAAUAAAAUUAAAAUAUUGACUGUAUAUAAACCAGAAAUCUGACUUAUUGUAACAUUUGUACAAAAAAUAUAUUUUUGUAUUUUUUUCCUUUGAGAUCAUUUGGUGUGCUUUUAUUGACAAAAGAGUCACUUGCAACAUUAGACAAUGAUAUGUGGCUGAAUUACAUUGUCAUGGACAUUGUAUUGAGGUAAUUCUUUUGAAGAAUCAUAAAACUGCAAAUCAUAAUAUUCUUAGCAAUAAUUUUCUACUAAAUCUUUCUAGGUCUGGUCAAUUUUGAACUAGGACGUCAUAGAGGCGGAAAUCUUUGAUCUACCCAGUGCAUUUUUACACUAAAUUGAAAAACAGGUAGGAGUUACUGAUAUUGUAAGAAAGAUCAUUAAAUUCAUAAAAAGGGAUCAUUAAAUUAAUUUGAAUUACACUGCGAGUUUCUCUUUAUAUGUUUGUAAAUGAUCAUGCUACAGUAUCUAGCGUUGCAUGGGCUUUGAAGAAGCCAUGUACUGUCAUAGUUAUAUACUUAAUCAUAUUAUUGAAAAAUUACUGUAACCAUAUGAUUUGUCAUGUCAUCUAUGCAAUUGUAGUGGAUUUUCAGGUGUCGUCAACUGGACAAAACAUGAGGACAUUUUUCGAAAGGACUAUCUUUUGAUAGUCGAGAAUCCUCUUGGUUACUUAACAGAAAUGUGGAAAAACACAAGAAAAACAACCUGGAUAUUUUCUGCAGAUUCUAUGCCAGCCCUGAAAUUGAGGGUACCCGAACAUCAAGGAAACAUCAGGGACAAAAUGCAAAGUUGUUUAGAAGGUGUAUUCUUUUUUAUUUUUUUAAUGAACAUUACAGAAUCCUUAUAAAUUAAUUCAGUUAAAAUUGUGUGCCACUAUUUUCUUAAAUUUUAGGAAGUUAUUUUAAAUACAGCAUAGGGUGCACAAGCAUAACUUUUGAUAUGGCAGAUGAUAUGUAUUUAACUUGUGCUACAUUAAUCUUGUAAUACUGGUUAUUGACUGUGGGCCCUAUCAUACACCCGGCGCAAUGCAACGCAAGGUGCAGCGCGAGUGUGUUUGCUAGUUUCAGUCCGGCACCGUUCGCAUUUUCCCAUCCAGCGCCACGU